Molecule: long non-coding RNA, 1643 nt
Organism: Amphiprion ocellaris (clown anemonefish)
Lineage: Eukaryota; Metazoa; Chordata; Actinopteri; Pomacentridae
Exons: 2
Source: RefSeq, a predicted model, not a curated record
UCUGCAUGCUGUCUUUAAGGUCGUAAUCGAUGCGCGAGAUGAGGUGUGCAUUGAACCCAGAGAGGGCAAACAGGACCGGUGUGGUGGCAGAAGCUCCAAAUGGAUCUACAUGCCAGGAGAACUGAGGACGCACCCCAAAUGUCUCGUAUAAGAAACCAUGGCCCUCAGUCAUCUGUAAGAUCUCAUCAUUAAGUUCAAAGGUCCCUCUCUAUCUCCCCACACAUCCACCAACCACUGGAACACAUCUCCAAAGUUCUGCUGGACCAGCUCAGCUUCCCCUCAGAAGAAGUGCUGCCACCUGCCAGAUGAAGGAGCCUUUUGAGAGGCAGCUGGCAUCGUGAUUGGACUGUACUUUGGUCUGUUCCAAUCCAGCUUCAGCUCCAGAGACGGCAGGCGGGACGAGUCAAUGGAGGCCUGGUGGACGAAGGCAUGCAGCUGAGUACAAUCCAGAAAACAACAGAGGAGGAGGGCAGCAGCCCAGAGCCAGAACAACCAGAGUAGCAUCGUAUGUCUCUUAGAAAACAUCAUAGUAUAGCCUUUGGUAUGAAAAAACACCAUCAUAUACAUCAUAUAUUGUACAAAUAACAAGUCUAAGGAAAGAGACAUACAUUAUAGAAUUGUAAUUGUGGGCUGACUGAUUUACUGACUAUCAGUAUUUUAUUUUUUUUUACUGAUUUAUGGUAAUAAAUACAUUGAAAAAUGGUGCUACUUUGGCUCUGAACCUCAAUCUACCUGUGGUUGCUCUGUCUUCUGGAGUGAUUUGAUUGGUUAUACAUCACAAAUAAAACUCCUUUAACUUAACAUCUGUAAACAAAACAAAAACGUAUCAACAAAGUUUAGAGUUUAGUUAGAGUUUGUGUUCUUCUAAGUAGAUAGUAGUAAAUAUUUUCAUUUACUGCAAAUGAAUAUCUACUCCAAAUGUUUCACUAAUAAUAAUUAUCAGCCUUAAAAACCCACAAAACACCCCUCUAUACUCGACCACACUUAGUACAGUCCGGUUCCCCCUUCUAUAAAUCUGCUUGGAAUCUUCCACUUCCUGUUUGUCAAAGUGGCCUUCUACCUGGACAGGUUUUGUUGGAGCUCAUGCAGCAAACAUUUUGGGUAACUGCACUUUAAUAUGGAUGGAUGACACUGAAUUAGAGUCUGUUUUAAUGAGACUAAGUUAAGAUGUGUAGCUCUGUCAUUAAAUAGGAAAUUAUUUCUCAGAAUUCACAGAGAAAAGUCUGAAAUGUUUGCUAGGUUAGCAUCCCACAUGUUCUUUGGCUCAGCUAAAGCUAAUUCUCUCCAACUUCUGGAUCUCUUGAGUUGCUUGUUGUUAAAAUAUCUUGCUAGAGGUGCUGAAGCUCAGAAAGUCUGAGAUGUUUGUUCAAAAUAAGCUCAUUCUCAAGUCUGAUCUGAACUGUCCUAUUGUUUGAACUUUCCCUAAACUUAGCAGUUAAUGACAGAGCAGCACAUCCAGACUCAGUCUCAUUUAUGUAGAGAUUAAACUUCAGUGUCAUUCAUUGAUGUUAAAGUGCAGUUUUUCAAAUGUUUGUUGCACAUGCUCCUGACCAAACCAGUCCAGGUGGAAGACGAUGUGAAGAGAAAGCUCCAGAGGAUGAAUAUCACACAUUUAUGUUGGAAAUAAAUGUCCUUUAAUUAGA